UAGGGAAUCUUCCACAAUGGACGCAAGUCUGAUGGAGCAACGCCGCGUGAGUGAAGAAGGUUUUCGGAUCGUAAAGCUCUGUUGUUGGUGAAGAAGGAUAGAGGCAGUAACUGGCCUUUAUUUGACGGUAAUCAACCAGAAAGUCACGGCUAACUACGUGCCAGCAGCCGCGGUAAUACGUAGGUGGCAAGCGUUGUCCGGAUUUAUUGGGCGUAAAGCGAGCGCAGGCGGAAGAAUAAGUCUGAUGUGAAAGCCCUCGGCUUAACCGAGGAAUCUGCGAAUCGGAAC
This 288-nucleotide ribosomal RNA is filed under the name uncultured bacterium. Its description in RNAcentral is "partial 16S ribosomal RNA". It matches the Rfam family "Bacterial small subunit ribosomal RNA", at positions 355 to 633 of the family's 1533-position model. The record is from RNAcentral.